UAUGGCCACAUCAUGUUGAAACCCCAGUUCCCAUAUGAUCAUCAAAGUUAACCAACAUUGAGCCUGGUCAGUACCUACAUGGGUGACCGCUUCAGAAUAUCAGGUGCUGUAAG
Acanthosepion pharaonis is the source of this 113-nucleotide non-coding RNA. The record is from the annotation of a GenBank genome assembly. NCBI's taxonomy places the organism in Eukaryota, Metazoa, Mollusca, Cephalopoda, Sepiida, Sepiidae.